RNAcentral lists this ribosomal RNA (440 nucleotides) under uncultured bacterium. RNAcentral describes it as "partial 16S ribosomal RNA". It matches the Rfam family "Bacterial small subunit ribosomal RNA", at positions 338 to 795 of the family's 1533-position model. The record is from RNAcentral.
CCUACGGGUGGCAGCAGUAGGGAAUAUUGCUCAAUGGGGGAAACCCUGAAGCAGCAACGCCGCGUGGAGGAUGAAGGUUUUCGGAUUGUAAACUCCUUUUGUUAGAGAAGAUAAUGACGGUAUCUAACGAAUAAGCACCGGCUAACCCCGUGCCAGCAGCCGCGGUAAUCCGGAGGGUGCAAGCGUUACUCGGAAUCACUGGGCGGAAAGAGCGCGUAGGAGGGAUAGCAAGUCAGAUGUGAAAUCCUAUGGCUUAACCAUAGAACUGCAUUUGAAACUGUUAUUCUAGAGUAUGGGAGAGGUAGGUGGAAUUCUUGGUGUAGGGGUAAAAUCCGUAGAGAUCAAGAGGAAUACUCAUUGCGAAGGCGACCUGCUAGAACCUAACUGACGCUGAUGCGCGAAAGCGUGGGGAGCAAACAGGAUUAGAUACCCUUGUAGUC